RNAcentral lists this long non-coding RNA (448 nucleotides) under Lynx pardinus (Iberian lynx). The record is from RNAcentral. Lineage: Eukaryota; Metazoa; Chordata; Mammalia; Carnivora; Felidae.
AAAGUUUAAUAUAUCUUUUACACAUUUCAAGAAGUAGCUUGUUCUAAUUUAUGAAUGAAAACUGUAGUAGGCCAUAAAAUGUUAACAUAAGGCAAAUAAGUGAAAAUUAUUUUAGAGCUUGUUUUUCAUAGAUCUGGACCUACUGGUACAAGAAUAGAACCUGCAUUAGAUGACUGACUGCAAACUUCUCCAUAAGUUGGCCUCCAGUAAUAAUGCUUUUUAAGGCCAUUGGAGACUUCUGCAAGAUACACAUGUCCAUCCACCACAAAUGGCUCCACAUCUGUAUUGUCUGGUUUUAGACGGCCUGUUUGAAUUAAGUCUGAAUAUGCCUGUGAUUUUUAAAAAAAGAACAAACUAUCAUUAAUAAAAUAGGUUGUUCAUUUAUUGUAAUUAAAUUUCUAUAUUCAAAUUAGCUGAACUGAUUUUCAGUUUAAAAUAUUUUGAGUAA